GCAGAGAACCUUGUCUAUCACUCCAAUGAGCAGCAGGGUUGAUUUACCUAAUCUAGCUGGCUAAGUUGGUCUCCCAUUUCUCUCUCAUGGCUCCAUGUGUAUCCCACUUGAAGUUGUAUACUUAGAUAAUUGCACUACUCUAUUUUCAGUCAACGUACACACUUAAUGUAUAUUUUUCAGGGAAAAUCACAGUAAGAAAUAGAAAUCAUGAUUGCCUGCAAUCACCAUGAAUUU
RNAcentral lists this small RNA (234 nucleotides) under Notechis scutatus (mainland tiger snake). Its description in RNAcentral is "7SK RNA (ENSNSUG00000018628.1)". Lineage: Eukaryota; Metazoa; Chordata; Lepidosauria; Squamata; Elapidae. The record is from RNAcentral.